Xyrichtys novacula (pearly razorfish) is the source of this 7806-nucleotide non-coding RNA. Lineage: Eukaryota; Metazoa; Chordata; Actinopteri; Labriformes; Labridae. The record is from the annotation of a GenBank genome assembly.
CAUUGGGCAUUGGGCAGGAAAAACUUAACUUUUUCUCCUGCCAUGGGGGGGCGCUCUUUUGGGGAGAAAAAAUUCUUUAACAAAUGUGUUGAUGGCUGAACAUUGCAUUAUCCUAGAAAACUUGGAGGCCAGUGAGGACAAAAACAAAAAGUUAUAAGACUUUUGAAAAUGUGGAUAUUUGGGUCCUCUUUGGCGCCCCCUUGAACGUGAACCGUGGAGUGCAGCGGCAUGAUUUUUACGACUUUUAAUGGCCAUGGGGUGUAGAUUGGCCUGAGCAAAUUUGGUGUCAGUGGGACGAAAGCCUUAGGAGGAGUUAGCCACAUUCCAAUGUGUGCGAAUGGGCAAAAAAAGCAAAAUAGCCCUUUAGCCGUACAUUUUACAGAUACGCGCGCAUUGACUUUUUCGUAGAUCUUAUUGAGAUACACGUGUGUGUCAAAUUUUUUUGUCAAUAUGACAAAGCGUACAGGCGUGAAUCUCAACAAUGUGUAUUUUCACCUUAGGGGACAAGAAAAAAUGGACUUUUUUGUCCUGCCAUGGGGGGGCGCUCUUUUGGGGAGUAAAAAUUCCUUCACAAAUGUGUUGAUGGCUGGACAUUGCAUCAUCCUAGAAAAUUUGGAGGCCAGUGAGGACAAAAAUAAAAAGUUAUAAAACUUUUAAGAAUGUGGAUUUUUGGGUUAUUUUUGGCGCCCCCUAGAACCUAAACCAUGGGGUGCAGCAUCAUGAUUUGUACAACUUUGAAUGGCCAUGGAGUGUAGAUUGGCCUGAGCAAAUGUGGUGCCGGUGGAACGAAAGCCUUCGGAGGAGUUAGCGAAAUUCCAAUGUGUGCGGAUCUGAAAAAAAUGCAAAAUAACCCUUUAACCGUACAUUUGACAGAUACGCCCGCACUGACUUUUUUGUAGAUCUUAUUGAGAUACAUGUGUGUGUCAAUUUUUGUGUCAAUAUGACAAAGCGUACAGGCGUGACAGUCAAUAGUGUGAAUUUUCACCUUAGUGGACAAGAAAAAAUGGACUUUUUUGUCCUGCCAUGGGGGGGCGCUCUUUUGGGGAGUAAAAAUUCCUUCACAAAUGUGUUGAUGGCUGGACAUUGCAUCAUCCUAGAAAACUUGGAGGCCAGUGAGGACAAAAAAAAAAAGUUAUAAAACUUUUAAAAAUGUGGAUUUUUGGGUUAUUUUUGGCGCCCCCUAGAACCUAAACCAUGGGGUGCAGCAUCAUGAUUUGUACAACUUUGAAUGGCCAUGGAGUGUAGAUUGGCCUGAGCAAAUGUGGUGCCAGUGGAACGAAAGCCUUCGGAGGAGUUAGCGAAAUUCCAAUGUGUGCAGAUCUGCAAAAAAUGCAAAAUAACCCUUUAACCGUACAUUUGACAGAUACGCCCGCACUGACUUUUUUGUAGAUCUUAUUGAGAUACAUGUGUGUGUCAAUUUUUGUGUCAAUAUGACAAAGCGUACAGGCGUGACAGUCAAUAGUGUGAAUUUUCACCUUAGUGGACAAGAAAAAAUGGACUUUUUUGUCCUGCCAUGGGGGGGCGCUCUUUUGGGGAGUAAAAAUUCCUUCACAAAUGUGUUGAUGGCUGGACAUUGCAUCAUCCUAGAAAACUUGGAGGCCAGUGAGGACAAAAAAAAAAAGUUAUAAAACUUUUAAAAAUGUGGAUUUUUGGGUUAUUUUUGGCGCCCCCUAGAACCUAAACCAUGGGGUGCAGCAUCAUGAUUUGUACAACUUUGAAUGGCCAUGGAGUGUAGAUUGGCCUGAGCAAAUGUGGUGCCGGUGGAACGAAAGCCUUCGGAGGAGUUAGCGAAAUUCCAAUGUGUGCGGAUCUGCAAAAAAUGCAAAAUAACCCUUUAACCGUACAUUUGACAGAUACGCCCGCACUGACUUUUUUGUAGAUCGUAUUGAGAUACAUGUGUGUGUCAAUUUUUGUGUCAAUAUGACAAAGCGUACAGGCGUGACAGUCAAUAGUGUGAAUUUUCACCUUAGGGGGCGCUAUGGAGCCAUUUUGCAUUUUAUUGUUUGGGCGACUUCAGAAUAUCGAAUUUUUCACCAGGCCCGGUCGUCCUGCCAAAUUUCCUGAGUUUUCGCCAGUGGGAAGUGGGCCAUUUUCCAGUUUAAAGCGGAGGAAAAAUAAUAACUAGGGCCCCGGUGGGGCACUGGCGGGCCCGAGCCGUGUCGCGCCGCCCCCAGCGUGACCGCCUCCCCCUCCCGAUUGCGUCACACUCAAGGUCCAAAGAUGGUGUGCGCACUUGUCUGUGGUCAUUUACAAUUAUAAUGAAUGGGAGGCGCAGUUUCUACCAAAACACUCGCUGCAGACAAACUCCAUGUCCUUUUUGAAAAUAGUCUGGACCAUGAGUGAGGGCACAAACACAGCUAGUAUAUAUCCAAAUGGCAAGUUGCUCCUCCUUUCGGUUUUGCCGGGAGAGCGAUGCGUUUGAGCCAUUGAGCGAUGGGCAGGAAAAACUUGACUUUUUCUCCUGCCAUGGGGGGCGCUCUUUUGGGGAGAAAAAAUUCCUUCACAAAUGUGUUGAUGGCUGGACAUUGCAUCAUCCUAGAAAACUUGGAGGCCAGUGAGGACAAAAAUAAAAGGUUAUUAGACUUUUAAGAAUGUGGAUUUUUGGGUUAUCUUUGGCGCCCCCUAGAACGUAGACCGUGGGGUGCAGCGUCAUGAUUUUUACAACUUUGAAUGGCCAUGGGGUGUAGAUUUGCCUGAGCAAAUUUGGUGCCAAUGGGACGAAAGCCCUAGGAGGAGUUAGCCACAUUCCAAUGUGUGCGGAUCGGCAAAAAAUGCGGAAUAGCCCUUUAACCGUACAUUUUACAGAUACGUGCCUAUUGAGUUUUUCGUAGAUCUGAUUGAGAUACACGUGAUUGUCAAAUUUUGUGUCAAUAUGACAAAGCGUAUAGGUGUGACACUCAACAAUGUGUAUUUUCACCUUAGGGGACAAGAAAAAAUUGCCUUUUUUCUCCUGCCAUGGGGGCGCUCUUUUGGGGAGUAAAAAUUCCUUCACAAAUGUGUUGAUGGCUGGACAUUGCAUCAUCCUAUAAAACUUGGAGGCCAGUGAGGACAAAAUUAAAAAGUUAUAAGACUUUUAAGAAUGUGGAUUUUUGGGUUAUCUUUGGCGCCCCCUAGAACCUAAACCGUGGGGUGCAGCGUCAUGAUUUGUACAACUUUUAAUGGCCAUGGGGUGUAGAUUGGCCUGUGCAAAUGUGGUGCCGGUGGAACGAAAGCCUUAGGAGGAGUUAGCAAAAUUCCAAUGUGUGCGAAUCGGCAAAAAAUACAAAAUAGCCCUUUAACAGUACAUUUUACACUUACGUGCCCGUUGACUUUUUCAUAGAUCUUAUUGAGAUACACAUGUGUGUCAAAUUUUGUGUCAUUUUGACAAAGCGUACAGGUGUCAGGUGAGUUUUCACCAUAGGGGGCGCUAUGGAGCCAUUUUUCAUUUUUUUGUUUGGGCGACUUCAGAAUAUCAAAUUUUUCACCAGGCCCGGUCGUCCUGCCAAAUUUCCUGAGUUUUCGUCAGUGGGAAGUGGGCCAUUUUCCAGUUUAAAGCGGAGGAAAAAUAACGAAAGAAGAAUCCAUCAGGAACAAGAGGGCUCUCGCAGCUGCUGAGCAGCUACGCUCGGGCCCUAACUAGGGCCCCGGUGGGGCACUGGCGGGCCCGAGCCGUGUCGCGCCGCCCCCAGCGCGACCCCCUCCCCCUCCCGAUCGCGUCACACUCAAGGUCCAAAGAUGGUGUGCGCACUUGUCUGUGGUCAUUUACCAUUAUAAUGAAUGCGAGGCGCAGUUUCUACCAAAAUGCUCGCUGCAGACAAACUCCAUGUCCUUUUUGAAAAAAGUCUGGACCAUGAGUGAGGGCACAAACACAGCUUCGAUAUAUCCAAAUGGCAAGUUGCUCCUCCUUUCGGUUUUGCCGAGAGAGCGAUGCGUUUGAGCCAUUGGGCAUUGGGCAGGAAAAACUUAACUUUUUCUCCUGCCAUGGGGGGGCGCUCUUUUGGGGAGAAAAAAUUCUUUAACAAAUGUGUUGAUGGCUGAACAUUGCAUUAUCCUAGAAAACUUGGAGGCCAGUGAGGACAAAAACAAAAAGUUAUAAGACUUUUGAAAAUGUGGAUAUUUGGGUCCUCUUUGGCGCCCCCUUGAACGUGAACCAUGGAGUGCAGCGGCAUGAUUUUUACGACUUUUAAUGGCCAUGGGGUGUAGAUUGGCCUGAGCAAAUUUGGUGUCAGUGGGACGAAAGCCUUAGGAGGAGUUAGCCACAUUCCAAUGUGUGCGAAUGGGCAAAAAAAGCAAAAUAGCCCUUUAGCCGUACAUUUUACAGAUACGCGCGCAUUGACUUUUUCGUAGAUCUUAUUGAGAUACACGUGUGUGUCAAAUUUUUUUGUCAAUAUGACAAAGCGUACAGGCGUGAAUCUCAACAAUGUGUAUUUUCACCUUAGGGGACAAGAAAAAAUGGACUUUUUUGUCCUGCCAUGGGGGGGCGCUCUUUUGGGGAGUAAAAAUUCCUUCACAAAUGUGUUGAUGGCUGGACAUUGCAUCAUCCUAGAAAAUUUGGAGGCCAGUGAGGACAAAAAUAAAAAGUUAUAAAACUUUUAAGAAUGUGGAUUUUUGGGUUAUUUUUGGCGCCCCCUAGAACCUAAACCAUGGGGUGCAGCAUCAUGAUUUGUACAACUUUGAAUGGCCAUGGAGUGUAGAUUGGCCUGUGCAAAUGUGGUGCCGGUGGAACGAAAGCCUUCGGAGGAGUUAGCGAAAUUCCAAUGUGUGGGGAUCUGCAAAAAAUGCGAAAUAACCCUUUAACCGUACAUUUGACAGAUACGCCCGCACUGACUUUUUUGUAGAUCUUAUUGAGAUACAUGUGUGUGUCAAUUUUUGUGUCAAUAUGACAAAGCGUACAGGCGUGACAGUCAAUAGUGUGAAUUUUCACCUUAGUGGACAAGAAAAAAUGGACUUUUUUGUCCUGCCAUGGGGGGGCGCUCUUUUGGGGAGUAAAAAUUCCUUCACAAAUGUGUUGAUGGCUGGACAUUGCAUCAUCCUAGAAAACUUGGAGGCCAGUGAGGACAAAAAAAAAAAGUUAUAAAACUUUUAAAAAUGUGGAUUUUUGGGUUAUUUUUGGCGCCCCCUAGAACCUAAACCAUGGGGUGCAGCAUCAUGAUUUGUACAACUUUGAAUGGCCAUGGAGUGUAGAUUGGCCUGAGCAAAUGUGGUGCCGGUGGAACGAAAGCCUUCGGAGGAGUUAGCGAAAUUCCAAUGUGUGCGGAUCUGCAAAAAAUGCGAAAUAACCCUUUAACCGUACAUUUGACAGAUACGCCCGCACUGACUUUUUUGUAGAUCUUAUUGAGAUACAUGUGUGUGUCAAUUUUUGUGUCAAUAUGACAAAGCGUACAGGCGUGACAGUCAAUAGUGUGAAUUUUCACCUUAGUGGACAAGAAAAAAUGGACUUUUUUGUCCUGCCAUGGGGGGGCGCUCUUUUGGGGAGUAAAAAUUCCUUCACAAAUGUGUUGAUGGCUGGACAUUGCAUCAUCCUAGAAAACUUGGAGGCCAGUGAGGACAAAAAAAAAAAGUUAUAAAACUUUUAAAAAUGUGGAUUUUUGGGUUAUUUUUGGCGCCCCCUAGAACCUAAACCAUGGGGUGCAGCAUCAUGAUUUGUACAACUUUGAAUGGCCAUGGAGUGUAGAUUGGCCUGAGCAAAUGUGGUGCCGGUGGAACGAAAGCCUUCGGAGGAGUUAGCGAAAUUCCAAUGUGUGCGGAUCUGCAAAAAAUGCGAAAUAACCCUUUAACCGUACAUUUGACAGAUACGCCCGCACUGACUUUUUUGUAGAUCGUAUUGAGAUACAUGUGUGUGUCAAUUUUUGUGUCAAUAUGACAAAGCGUACAGGCGUGACAGUCAAUAGUGUGAAUUUUCACCUUAGGGGGCGCUAUGGAGCCAUUUUGCAUUUUAUUGUUUGGGCGACUUCAGAAUAUCGAAUUUUUCACCAGGCCCGGUCGUCCUGCCAAAUUUCCUGAGUUUUCGCCAGUGGGAAGUGGGCCAUUUUCCAGUUUAAAGCGGAGGAAAAAUAAUAACUAGGGCCCCGGUGGGGCACUGGCGGGCCCGAGCCGUGUCGCGCCGCCCCCAGCGUGACCGCCUCCCCCUCCCGAUUGCGUCACACUCAAGGUCCAAAGAUGGUGUGCGCACUUGUCUGUGGUCAUUUACAAUUAUAAUGAAUGGGAGGCGCAGUUUCUACCAAAACACUCGCUGCAGACAAACUCCAUGUCCUUUUUGAAAAUAGUCUGGACCAUGAGUGAGGGCACAAACACAGCUAGUAUAUAUCCAAAUGGCAAGUUGCUCCUCCUUUCGGUUUUGCCGGGAGAGCGAUGCGUUUGAGCCAUUGAGCGAUGGGCAGGAAAAACUUGACUUUUUCUCCUGCCAUGGGGGGGCGCUCUUUUGGGGAGAAAAAAUUCCUUCACAAAUGUGUUGAUGGCUGGACAUUGCAUCAUCCUAGAAAACUUGGAGGCCAGUGAGGACAAAAAUAAAAGGUUAUUAGACUUUUAAGAAUGUGGAUUUUUGGGUUAUCUUUGGCGCCCCCUAGAACGUAGACCGUGGGGUGCAGCGUCAUGAUUUUUACAACUUUGAAUGGCCAUGGGGUGUAGAUUUGCCUGAGCAAAUUUGGUGCCAAUGGGACGAAAGCCCUAGGAGGAGUUAGCCACAUUCCAAUGUGUGCGGAUCGGCAAAAAAUGCGGAAUAGCCCUUUAACCGUACAUUUUACAGAUACGUGCCUAUUGAGUUUUUCGUAGAUCUGAUUGAGAUACACGUGAUUGUCAAAUUUUGUGUCAAUAUGACAAAGCGUAUAGGUGUGACACUCAACAAUGUGUAUUUUCACCUUAGGGGACAAGAAAAAAUUGCCUUUUUUCUCCUGCCAUGGGGGCGCUCUUUUGGGGAGUAAAAAUUCCUUCACAAAUGUGUUGAUGGCUGGACAUUGCAUCAUCCUAUAAAACUUGGAGGCCAGUGAGGACAAAAUUAAAAAGUUAUAAGACUUUUAAGAAUGUGGAUUUUUGGGUUAUCUUUGGCGCCCCCUAGAACCUAAACCGUGGGGUGCAGCGUCAUGAUUUGUACAACUUUUAAUGGCCAUGGGGUGUAGAUUGGCCUGUGCAAAUGUGGUGCCGGUGGAACGAAAGCCUUAGGAGGAGUUAGCAAAAUUCCAAUGUGUGCGAAUCGGCAAAAAAUGCAAAAUAGCCCUUUAACAGUACAUUUUACACUUACGUGCCCGUUGACUUUUUCAUAGAUCUUAUUGAGAUACACAUGUGUGUCAAAUUUUGUGUCAUUUUGACAAAGCGUACAGGUGUCAGGUGAGUUUUCACCAUAGGGGGCGCUAUGGAGCCAUUUUUCAUUUUUUUGUUUGGGCGACUUCAGAAUAUCAAAUUUUUCACCAGGCCCGGUCGUCCUGCCAAAUUUCCUGAGUUUUCGUCAGUGGGAAGUGGGCCAUUUUCCAGUUUAAAGCGGAGGAAAAAUAACGAAAGAAGAAUCCAUCAGGAACAAGAGGGCUCUCGCAGCUGCUGAGCAGCUACGCUCGGGCCCUAAUAAUAACAAAAGAAGAAUCCAUCAGGAACAAGAGGGCUCUCGCAGCUGCUUAGCAGCUACGCUCGGGCCCUAAAAAGAAACAAAGAAAAACCACUUGGGGAAUAAUAGGGCUCUCGCAGCUGCUUAGCAGCUACGCUCGGGCCCUAAUAACGAAAGAAGAAUCCAUCAGGAACAAGAGGGCUCUCGCAGCUGCUUAGCAGCUACGCUCGGGCCCUAAUAACAAACUAGGGCCCCGUUGGGGCACUGGCGGGCCCGAGCUGUGUCGCCCCCCC